This 379-nucleotide ribosomal RNA is filed under the name uncultured cyanobacterium. RNAcentral's name for it is "bacterial SSU rRNA". It matches the Rfam family "Bacterial small subunit ribosomal RNA", at positions 376 to 770 of the family's 1533-position model. The record is from RNAcentral. Lineage: Bacteria; Bacillati; Cyanobacteriota.
CGCAAGCCUGACGGAGCAAGACCGCGUGCGGGAUGACGGCCUAAUGGUUGUAAACCGCUUUUCUCUGGGAAGAAGCCCUGACGGUACCAGAGGAAUCAGCCUCGGCUAACUCCGUGCCAGCAGCCGCGGUAAUACGGAGGAGGCAAGCGUUAUCCGGAAUUAUUGGGCGUAAAGCGUCCGCAGGGGGCACAUCAAGUCUGCUGUUAAAGGCUGGAGCUUAACUCCGGUAGAGCAGUGGAAACUGGUGUGCUAGAGGGCGACAGGGGUAGAGGGAAUUCCCAGUGUAGCGGUGAAAUGCGUAAAGAUUGGGAAGAACACCGGUGGCGAAAGCGCUCUACUGGGUCGCACCUGACCCUCAGGGACGAAAGCUAAGGUAGCG